This 407-nucleotide long non-coding RNA is filed under the name Nicotiana benthamiana. Its description in RNAcentral is "long non-coding RNA (NBEN_LNC009980)". Lineage: Eukaryota; Viridiplantae; Streptophyta; Magnoliopsida; Solanales; Solanaceae. The record is from RNAcentral.
CCGAACCAAGCCAAGAUAUAAAGAUAUAAAUUUUAAUAUAUAUUUUUAAGACUUUUUAUAGAACAUUCUUUAAAAAUAUUUGAAAAUAUUUGGGAUUCUCUUAUAGGAUGUAAUAUUUACUAGUAUAUAAAAUGCUUCAUUUUUAUUAACUUUAAAUAAUGGGUUAUAAGAUUAUUUUCUUAUUAAGUGUUACUUAAAUGCGUUUAUCUCUUUGUUCUUCCAUAUUCAUUUGUCUAGAUCUAUUAAGUUCUUUUUUUUUAAAUUGAAGUGGUAUGUCAAUAAUUUAAAAUUAAAUAGAACAUUCAUUAUUUUGCUAUCAUAUUGAUUUUUAUGUUUAAUUAUUAAAUUCGAUAACCUUAAAAGUGUAUAACAAAAGAAAAAUUAUAUAUAUAUAUAUAUAUAUAUAU